GCGGACAUAGCUCAGUUGGUAGAGCACAACCUUGCCAAGGUUGGGGUCGCGAGUUCGAGUCUCGUUGUCCGCU
This is a transfer RNA of Aneurinibacillus sp. XH2, 73 nucleotides long. It matches the Rfam family "tRNA". Rfam says of the family: Transfer RNA (tRNA) molecules are approximately 80 nucleotides in length. Their secondary structure includes four short double-helical elements and three loops (D, anti-codon, and T loops). NCBI's taxonomy places the organism in Bacteria, Bacillati, Bacillota, Bacilli, Caryophanales, Paenibacillaceae. The record is from Rfam.